GCUGGAGCCAAUUUAUUAUCACCACGUCAGCACAGAACAUUGAGUGUAACUGAUAAUACUCUACAUGGGACUGCCUUGGGUGGCCACCUCCUGUAUGCCCAUAGGAAACACUGCAGUUUGGAGAAGCCCACUGAGCUUUCCUCGCGCAACCCUCUCCGUCAUUCUGCAGGAGGUUUGGAGUUUUGGAGCUUAAAUGUGAUUUUUAGCGUGGCUUCUUCAAGAACACUCUUUAAAGAUGGCAUCGAAUCCAUUCGUUAACUGAUCAAGAAUGUCAUUCUCCCUUCUUGCACCCCCAGUCCGGAAUGCUGAUGCCAGCUCUGCCAUGGCUGCUGCCAGCUGUGAGGACUCAAAGCCACACAAAGCAAUGGAAACACGUGGCUGGGGCACACGGGAUGGCACUGCUGGCACAGAGGGUCUCCUCGCCGCCGUGCCCCUCACCAGUUCUUUUUGCUUUCCAGCACGCCUCCUGCAUGCUUCCAGCCAAGGAGCAGCGGUGGCAUUGCUGGGGUUGGCUGCUCCCGCUGAGCGCUGAGCUCCUCGUGCAGCGUGGUGCAGAACAGCCAGCAGGUGCCCCAGGCUGUCAUCCUUUGCUGUAGCAGCAGAGGUUACUCCUGGCCUGGAUGGGGCCGUCCCGGACACUGUAAGAGAAUCAAAUGGCUUUUACAUUGUGCAAACGCUGUGCGUGUUUGCUUUGCUCACCCCCCAGCCAACACCACAGGUAACAAACUGCAGUACAAAUGCACUUCUGCUACAAUUACUGCCCUCUCCAUAUCUGUAGGAGACAGCUGGUGCUGCCAUGCUAGGCGGUGCGCUCCCCGGAACGGAUGAAUAAUCAAAGACACGCAAAGGGAAGCACACCCAAGGCAACACCGAUCGUACAGCGACUGCUCGACCCCAACCCCUUCACGUCACCUCCUAACGCUGCGUGUUCCAACCGCGGCAGAUCACAGCACGGUUUGGGAUGAAAGGGGCCUCUAUGAGCGCCCAGCUCCAACCCCCUGCUGCAGGCAGGGACAGCCCCCGCCACACCAGGCUGCCCGCAGCCCCAUCCAGCCCGAACGCCUACACGGAGAGGCAUCCACGACCUCUGCCUGCACCUCACUGUGAAGCCUUUCCUGCCGAUCUCUGCUCUAAAGCGACCCUCUUUCCGUUCGAAGCCGUUUCCCCUCAUGCUGCCGCUAUCCGCCCUUAUGAGGAGCCCCUCCCCAGCCGUCCUGCAGGAACCACGACCCAGUAACGGAGCCGCAAACAAAACCAAGAGCUCCGCCAGCAGACGCUACCCCCGCCUAACAGCGCCGGGCCGCGGAACACCGCCACGGCCCACGCAAAACGGCCCUUCCUCAGCACGGCCGGGCUGCCCCUCACCGCCGGGCGGCAGCAGCGGCAGCAGCAGCAGCACCC
Long non-coding RNA from Gallus gallus (chicken), 1401 nucleotides. The record is from Ensembl. NCBI's taxonomy places the organism in Eukaryota, Metazoa, Chordata, Aves, Galliformes, Phasianidae.